UCUAUUUUGGUACCUCUGUUC
Molecule: non-coding RNA, 21 nt
Filed under: Arabidopsis thaliana (thale cress)
Lineage: Eukaryota; Viridiplantae; Streptophyta; Magnoliopsida; Brassicales; Brassicaceae
Source: RNAcentral